UAUAAUUUCAGUAUAUCAGAUUUUGCAUUUGGCUCAGUAUUAGUUGGUCUUCUCUCUCUCUCUAAAAACCCUCUGUCUUCUCUCUAGCACAUCUCAGAUCUGAAUCGUGUUUCCGGCUGGCGGUUCCGGCUCUCCAAGCCACCGGCCGGCGGUUCCGGCUCUCCAAGCCACCGUCGGCCAGUUUUAGAUCUAAAUCUUAAAUCCAUUCGUUGAGCUUUUGGUUUUGGUUGGUGCUGAUUAAGGAGUCUUUGAACAUGCAUGGAUCUUUGUAUCUGGUGUUUUUGGACCUGGUUCUUCCCCACCGUUUGUUUGGUAACCUCUUCCUCAACUGUUUCUCUGUUCGUUUGCGAUUUCACUGUUUAUGUGGUCUCGAACUGUUGUUGUGAUUGGUGGGUUCAGAAGGAUGCUUAACCGUUAGAAGGUGUUGCAAAAAUUAGGCCUCUGAGGUAUUUGCUUGCAGGUAAGAUAUCCGGUUCGUCUCGAAGGUUCUGGGGCUUUGGCUCCUUAUCAUCAUUUCGUCGAAGGCGUCAGGUUUACCGACCUCUUCCAUGAGUCUUCUUUGGAGGUGUUAAGUGCUCGUGGCUUCUUAAGUGGUAUGUUGUGGUGACGUUUGGAGCAUAAUAAAGAGUGUAGCCUUGAACUCCAUUAAUAAGUUUGUUCUUUGUUGACUUUAUCCUUCUUCUCUUUUUUGUCCCUUCCAGUUUUAACAUUGUUCAGUGUAUUGUAUUGUUGGAUCUGUUCUGAAUUUGUUUCAUCCUAGCUCUAAGGUUUUUUCUUUUGGUUC
This is a long non-coding RNA of Brassica oleracea var. oleracea, 784 nucleotides long. RefSeq lists it as uncharacterized. The transcript has 2 exons. The record is from RefSeq and is a predicted model, not a curated record. NCBI's taxonomy places the organism in Eukaryota, Viridiplantae, Streptophyta, Magnoliopsida, Brassicales, Brassicaceae.